RNAcentral lists this non-coding RNA (30 nucleotides) under Mus musculus (house mouse). Lineage: Eukaryota; Metazoa; Chordata; Mammalia; Rodentia; Muridae. The record is from RNAcentral.
UAAAAGUCCCCUUGCUUCAGACCUCAUUCA